This 386-nucleotide ribosomal RNA is filed under the name Lycodon sp. CHS871. RNAcentral's name for it is "partial 12S ribosomal RNA". Lineage: Eukaryota; Metazoa; Chordata; Lepidosauria; Squamata; Colubridae. The record is from RNAcentral.
ACAAUAAAUCACCAAUUGUUCGCCAAAUAACUACGAGUAAAAACUUAAAAUUUAAAAGACUUGACGGUACCCCACAGCAACCUAGAGGAGCCUGUUCAACAACCGAUACUCCACGAUUAACCCAACCUCCCCUAGCCCGCCAGUCUAUAUACCGCCGUCGCCAGCCUACCUUAUGAAAGAAACAAAGUAAGCCAAAUAGCCACACACUAGUACGACAGGUCGAGGUGUAACUUAUGGGGGGGCCUAGAAUGGGCUACAUUAUCUAAGCUAGAUAACACGAAUAAACCAUGAAACAAGAAACUGAAGGCGGAUUUAGCAGUAUACCACGAAUAAAACACCUAGUCGAAGCUAACGCAAUGGGGUGCGUACACACCGCCCGUCAUCCC